This 429-nucleotide unclassified non-coding RNA is filed under the name soil metagenome. RNAcentral's name for it is "partial contains 5.8S ribosomal RNA, internal transcribed spacer 2, and large subunit ribosomal RNA". The stretch from base 1 to 120 matches the Rfam family "5.8S ribosomal RNA", at positions 35 to 154 of the family's 154-position model. The record is from RNAcentral.
GAUGAAGAACGCAGCGAAAUGCGAUACGUAAUGUGAAUUGCAGAAUUCAGUGAAUCAUCGAAUCUUUGAACGCAUAUUGCGCUCUCUGGUAUUCCGGAGAGCAUGCUUGUUUGAGUAUCAGUAAACACCUCAACUCCCUUUUCUUUUUUGAAAUUGGAGCUGGACUUGAGUGAUCCCAACGCUUUCUUCCAAGAAAGUGGCGGGUUGCUUGAAAUGCAGGUGCAGCUGAACUUUUCUCUGAGCUAUAAGCAUAUCUAUUUAGUCUGCCUAAAAAACAGAUUAUUACCUUUGCUGCAGCUAACAUAAAGGAGACUAGUUCUUGUGCUGACUGAUGCAGGAUUCACAGAGACAGCUUCGGCUGACUUUGUAAACUCGAUCUCAAAUCAAGUAAGACUACCCGCUGAACUUAAGCAUAUAAUAAGCGGAGGA